GCACUGGUGGUUUAGUGGCAAAAUUGGACAUUGCCAAGUUGAUUACUUCGACGUUGUCUAGCCCCGGGUUCGAUUCCCGGCCAGUGCA
Molecule: transfer RNA, 88 nt
Filed under: Rhodotorula toruloides
Lineage: Eukaryota; Fungi; Basidiomycota; Microbotryomycetes; Sporidiobolales; Sporidiobolaceae
Description: tRNA-Gly
Rfam family: tRNA
About the family: Transfer RNA (tRNA) molecules are approximately 80 nucleotides in length. Their secondary structure includes four short double-helical elements and three loops (D, anti-codon, and T loops). Further hydrogen bonds mediate the characteristic L-shaped molecular structure. tRNAs have two regions of fundamental functional importance: the anti-codon, which is responsible for specific mRNA codon recognition, and the 3' end, to which the tRNAs corresponding amino acid is attached (by aminoacyl-tRNA synthetases). tRNAs cope with the degeneracy of the genetic code in two manners: having more than one tRNA (with a specific anti-codon) for a particular amino acid; and 'wobble' base-pairing, i.e. permitting non-standard base-pairing at the 3rd anti-codon position.
Source: RNAcentral